This is a non-coding RNA of Paramuricea clavata, 96 nucleotides long. The record is from the annotation of a GenBank genome assembly. NCBI's taxonomy places the organism in Eukaryota, Metazoa, Cnidaria, Anthozoa, Malacalcyonacea, Plexauridae.
AUUUUUUGGAUCUGAGUCUAGUUCCUUCGAUAUCGAUGUAAUCUAGUAAUCAUGAUUGCAUAGGUAUCGAAGGAACUAGACUCAGUUCCGAAAUAU